AUAUGAAGCUUCUUUGACCAAUAAAAGAAAAAAAAAAACUUCUUGAAGAGAAACGUUUUUCAAUGUUGUAUUUUGUUGGAAGGCCAAGUCUGGCCCAAACCCACAAUCUUUAGCUCUAAUAUGAACUUUUGGACUUGACAUUUAGGCCUAUCACAUAACAUGUAGACCUAUAACGUCUAGAUGUUCUGUUGUCUCCUCUGCAAUUCAUCGGAAACGUCAUCUCCUCUGCAGUUCAUCGGAACCGUCGUUGCUUCAUUCAUGGCUGGAGACAUUUGCUCAUCUGGAAUCCCAUGAAUAAGACGUUGUUGGCCGGCUCUUACGAUUUUGGGAUGCCCGUAAUAUUAAAAAAACGGUGAAUUCAUGGGCAUAGUCGUCCUCUUGCUCGACGAGAAGCUGUUCGUGCCAGCCAAUUCCGCAAUGUUUUACAAGAAGGGCGAAUCUUUUGUGUUGGAGGGUUUGAAGUGGGAAGGUGCACAAACCUCUACAAAAUUACUGACAACCCAUUUGUCAUCCGUUUCCUACCUUCAACAACAAUUGUUGAAGUGAAUCACGUUGGAGCUACAAUAGAAAGAGAAAAAUUUAUGCUUCGCAAAGGAGAUCAUCUCCAAGCUCUUGCAAACAUUAAUCUUGAACUACCAGGUAUAAUAUGAACAAAUACUCAUGAGUAAUAAUUAUGGAACCUCAUUAUAUUACAAUAUAUUUUUAUUUGAUAAAUGUGGUGGGUCAAAUAAGAUUUGUCCAAAGAUCAAACCUGGUUGACCCAACA
Molecule: long non-coding RNA, 766 nt
Organism: Arabidopsis lyrata subsp. lyrata
Lineage: Eukaryota; Viridiplantae; Streptophyta; Magnoliopsida; Brassicales; Brassicaceae
Exons: 3
Source: RefSeq, a predicted model, not a curated record